RNAcentral lists this ribosomal RNA (669 nucleotides) under uncultured fungus. Its description in RNAcentral is "eukaryotic LSU rRNA". It matches the Rfam family "Eukaryotic large subunit ribosomal RNA", at positions 24 to 664 of the family's 3401-position model. The record is from RNAcentral. Lineage: Eukaryota; Fungi.
CCCGCUGAACUUAAGCAUAUCAAUAAGCGGAGGAAAAGAAACUAACAAGGAUUCCCCUAGUAACUGCGAGUGAAGCGGGAAGAGCUCAAAUUUAAAAUCUGGCAGUUCCCUGAGCUGUCCGAGUUGUAAUCUAGAGAAGUGCUUUCCGUGCUGGACCGUGUACAAGUCUCUUGGAAUGGAGCGUCAUAGAGGGUGAGAAUCCCGUCUUUGACAUGGACUACCAGCGCUUCUGUGAGGCACUCUCGAAGAGUCGAGUUGUUUGGGAAUGCAGCUCAAAAUGGGUGGUAAAUUCCAUCUAAAGCUAAAUAUGGGCGAGAGACCGAUAGCGAACAAGUACCGUGAGGGAAAGAUGAAAAGAACUUUGAAAAGAGAGUUAAACAGUACGUGAAAUUGUUGAAAGGGAAACGUUUCAAGUCAGUCGCGUUGGCUGGUAAUCAACCUUUGCAAUCUUGCUGGGCUUACUUUCCAGUCGACGGGUCAGUAUCAAUUUUGACUGUCAGAUAAAGGCGUGGGGAAUGUGGCAUCUUCGGAUGUGUUAUAGCCCCUUGUCAGAUGUGAUGGUUGGGAUUGAGGAACUCAGCAUGCCUUUGCUGGUCGGGGCCUACAAGCCCACGUAACAUGCUCAGGAUGCUGGCAUAAUGGCUUGAACCGACCCGUCUUGAAACACGG